UUGGAGGGCAAGUCUGGUGCCAGCAGCCGCGGUAAUUCCAGCUCCAAUAGCGUAUAUUAAAGUUGUUGCAGUUAAAAAGCUCGUAGUUGAAUUUCAGGCCUGGCUGGACGGUCCGCCCUUCGGGUGAGUACUGUCUGUGGUCGGGUCCUACCUUCUGGCGAAGCGUCAUGGCCUUAACCGGCCGUGGCGGGGAACCAGGACUUUUACUGUGAAAAAAUUAGAGUGUUCAAAGCAGGCAAUCGCUUGGAUACAUUAGCAUGGAAUAAUGGAAUAGGACAAUGGUUCUAUUUGUUGGUUUCUAGGACCGUUGUAAUGAUUAAUAGGGAUAGUUGGGGGCAUUAGUAUUCAAUUGUCAGAGGUGAGAUUCUUGGAUUUAUUGAAGACUAACUACUGCGAAAGCAUUUGCCAAGGAUGUUUUCAUUAAUCAAGAACGAAAGUUAGGGGAUCGAAGACGAUCAGAUACCGUCGUAGUCUUAACCAUAAACUAUGCCGACUAGGAAUCGGGCGAUGUUGAAAAAAUGACGCGCUCGGCACCUUAUGGGAAACCAAAG
This 551-nucleotide ribosomal RNA is filed under the name uncultured Paraglomus. RNAcentral's name for it is "SSU rRNA". It matches the Rfam family "Eukaryotic small subunit ribosomal RNA", at positions 548 to 1103 of the family's 1831-position model. The record is from RNAcentral. Lineage: Eukaryota; Fungi; Glomeromycota; Glomeromycetes; Paraglomerales; Paraglomeraceae.